This is a long non-coding RNA of Asparagus officinalis (garden asparagus), 1921 nucleotides long. RefSeq lists it as uncharacterized. NCBI's taxonomy places the organism in Eukaryota, Viridiplantae, Streptophyta, Magnoliopsida, Asparagales, Asparagaceae. The record is from RefSeq and is a predicted model, not a curated record. The transcript has 3 exons.
GUCUAUUUUCCACAGAAAUGAUAAAAACGGUAGGAACUAAUUUGAAGUAACUCACAUCACCCGCGCGACUAAAAUAGCAAGUACCGUGAUUAAGUGGGCUUAAUUUAAAAAUACUAAAGGUUUAGACAUCAAUAUAUAAAAAACCUUAGAACUUGGACACUGUUAGAAGUCAGACAAAACCCGACCCACUUUACAUCCCCAUCGGAUCAUUAGAUCAGGUUGACAAAACCCGUUAGCCCAAUAGGCACGUACUAUGUAUAUGAGAGAGAGAGAGAGGGAGGGGGAGAGAGAGAGAGGUCUUUACCAGCAAUCUUCUAGGAUUAAAGGAUUGAAUUAAAUUUGUAUAUUUUGGGUCAAUUAGAAGAUACAUUGAUCUUUUGUGCUACUAAUGGGGUGCAUUAUUUGUUCAGUGAUACGAAAAAGCGAUACUUUAAAGCUGCACACAAAGUGUCUGAUGAAAUGCCGCAACGAAACAAAGAUCUUCCCCAAGUCCUCUACUGACUCAAAAAUGAAGCUGAAGCAUUAAAUUUUUUUUAGAUAUUAUUCAGCCUUAACUGUUGCGAAAUUUCUUUGAUAGGUGCUGAAUUUUCUGUGUUAGAUACCCGCUAUACAUAGGGAGAUUAGCAUAACAUGUAUUCUGUAUUGUUUAGUUAUUUUACAUCGCGCAGUCUUUUUAAGCCUAUUGUUUCUAUCAUAUUGCAGACGAAUCUGUUUGGAGUCCUGACAUGCAAUGAACGGUAAAAGUUGAAGUCAGCUUUGUAAAGUCUUCAAUUGCUUGGAAUGGAACAACUUUUUGGCUUGAAAGUUUUUAUGGAAAGAUGAGCACUAACAAGUCUAGAGCCACAGAAUUGAAUGCUGAAGAUUAAGCUUCUUGAGCGUAAUAUUUAAGGUGAAGAAGAAAACUUGACUUGGUCCUACACAAAGCUCCUACGCUUCAUCUCUUGCUCUCCUUCCUCAUCUUCUCGGCUCUUUCAACAACAGUUUACUCAUCUAAGCAUCUGAUUCAAUCUCAAGAGGGCAGUUUCUCUCUGGCAACACUAUCAUAAUCUCCAAAGGUGCAAAAUUUGAGCUUGGUUUCUUCAAGCCAGGUUCCUCUAAAAACUACUACAUAAGCAUCUGGUACAAAAACAUUUGGAGGUGUGGAAUUUCAACAAGGAAAAGUUUGCCCAUAACGGAUGGCCAAAUAACCUGUAUGAGCUCAUAAAUUCAAGAUGGAGGUUCAUUGCAGACACAAAGCAGAGACUAUUUGGCAAGCAUUAUAUCCUAUAGUUUGUUGGUGCAUAUGGCAUGCACGUAAUAGCAAAACCUUCAAUAAUGCUUCUCCAUCCAUUGACAACAUUAUCAACUCUGCAGCUCACCAUAUAAUUGAAUGGACAGGGUCAGCCUCAGGGAAAUGUGCACAGAAACUCAGGCUAGCUCUGGAAACACACUCUCCACCCACAAUGCAGACCGGACGCAGCCGUCACUUAGGGCAACUCCCAAACCCUGCUCAAGAGAUGGAAGAGGAGAUCAAUAGAAGGCAAGGGAUUGAAAAAGAAGAUGCUACAAGCCAAGCAUAACAGCAGAAGCUUCUCUGAAUAUUGCUGCUUUGUAAUUAGAAUCUCUAACUGCAUAGGAUUGCAUCUGACAGUGUUUUUUCUUUCUUUUUUCUUCCCGUCUGUUUUUUGUUUUGUUUAUGUCAUGCUACAUAUUUUGUUGCCAAGAGCAAUUUAGUGUAGAAACUUUCCUUUCUCCUAAUGCUAGUUAUAGGGCUGGCUUUGGACCAUAACUCUAUCAAUGUUGCGGUGAAUGACAGCUAGGGUCCUCUCGUCAUCCUCGUCGAUAUGGUUAUGGAGAAGGUCCUACACAAUAUAUUUAGAGAAAGGGCACGUUUCUAUACAUACUUUUGUAGGACACCAACUCAUGUCCAUUUUUUCUCACU